This 497-nucleotide ribosomal RNA is filed under the name uncultured bacterium. Its description in RNAcentral is "partial 16S ribosomal RNA". It matches the Rfam family "Bacterial small subunit ribosomal RNA", at positions 28 to 507 of the family's 1533-position model. The record is from RNAcentral.
GAUGAACGCUGGCGGCGUGCCUAAUACAUGUAAGUCGAGCGAACAGACGAGGAGCUUGCUCCUUUGACGUUAGCGGCGGACGGGUGAGUAACACGUGGAUAACCUACCUAUAAGACUGGGAUAACUUCGGGAAACCGGAGCUAAUACCGGAUAACAUGUUGAACCGCAUGGUUCAACAGUGAAAGACGGUUUUGCUGUCACUUAUAGAUGGAUCCGCGCCGCAUUAGCUAGUUGGUAAGGUAACGGGUUACCAAGGCAACGAUGCGUAGCCGCCCGGAGAGGGUGGUCGCCCACCUUGGAGCGUGGCCGGCGUCCUGGCUCCUACGGUAGGCAGCAGUCUGGAAUCUUCCGCAAUGGGCGGAAGCCUUACGGAGCAGCGCCGCGUGAGUGAAGAAGGUCUUCGGAUCGUAAAACUCUGUUAUUAGUGAAGAACAAAUGUGUCAGUAACUAUGCACUUCUUGACGGUACCUAAUCAGAAAGCCACGGCUAACUACGUG